AGAGUUUGAUCAUGGCUCAGGAUGAACGCUAGCUACAGGCUUAACACAUGCAAGUCGAGGGGUAGCAGGGUAGCAAUACCGCUGACGACCGGCGCACGGGUGAGUAACACGUAUCCAACCUUCCCAUAACUCAGGGAUAGCCUUUCGAAAGAAAGAUUAAUACCUGAUAGUACUUUUUCAAGGCAUCUUGAAAAAGUUAAAGAUUUAUUGGUUAUGGAUGGGGAUGCGUUCCAUUAGAUAGUUGGUGAGGUAACGGCUCACCAAGUCUUCGAUGGAUAGGGGUUCUGAGAGGAAGGUCCCCCACAUUGGUACUGAGACACGGACCAAACUCCCACGGGAGGCAGCAGUGAGGAAUAUUGGUCAAUGGGCGAGAGCCUGAACCAGCCAAGUAGCGUGAAGGAAUGAAGGUCCUAUGGAUUGUAAACUUCUUUUAUAGUAGAAUAAAGUGAUCCACGUGUGGAUUUUUGUAUGUAUACUAUGAAUAAGGAUCGGCUAACUCCGUGCCAGCCGCCGC
This 514-nucleotide ribosomal RNA is filed under the name uncultured bacterium. RNAcentral describes it as "bacterial SSU rRNA". It matches the Rfam family "Bacterial small subunit ribosomal RNA", at positions 8 to 518 of the family's 1533-position model. The record is from RNAcentral.